This 301-nucleotide ribosomal RNA is filed under the name uncultured bacterium. RNAcentral's name for it is "partial 16S ribosomal RNA". It matches the Rfam family "Bacterial small subunit ribosomal RNA", at positions 509 to 809 of the family's 1533-position model. The record is from RNAcentral.
CAGUCGCCGCGGGAACACGUAGGUGGCAAGCGUUGUCCGGAAUUAUUGGGCGUAAAGGGCUCGCAGGCGGUUUCUUAAGUCUGAUGCGAAAGCCCCCGGCUCAACCGGGGAGGGUCAUUGGAAACUGGGAAACUUGAGUGCAGAAGAGGAGAGUGGAGUUCCACGUGUAGCGGUGAAAUGCGUAGAGAUGUGGAGGAACACCAGUGGCGAAGGCGACUCUCUGGUCUGUAACUGACGCUGAGGAGCGAAAGCGUGGGGAGCGAACAGGAUUAGAUACCCCUGUAGUCCCUGUCUCUUAUAU